AGUCGAACGGUAACAGGAAGCAGCUUGCUGCUUUGCUGACGAGUGGCGGACGGGUGAGUAAUGUCUGGGAAACUGCCCGAUGGAGGGGGAUAACUACUGGAAACGGUAGCUAAUACCGCAUAACGUCGCAAGACCAAAGAGGGGGACCUUCGGGCCUCUUGCCAUCGGAUGUGCCCAGAUGGGAUUAGCUAGUAGGUGGGGUAACGGCUCACCUAGGCGACGAUCCCUAGCUGGUCUGAGAGGAUGACCAGCCACACUGGAACUGAGACACGGUCCAGACUCCUACGGGAGGCAGCAGUGGGGAAUAUUGCACAAUGGGCGCAAGCCUGAUGCAGCCAUGCCGCGUGUAUGAAGAAGGCCUUCGGGUUGUAAAGUACUUUCAGCGGGGAGGAAGGGAGUAAAGUUAAUACCUUUGCUCAUUGACGUUACCCGCAGAAGAAGCACCGGCUAACUCCGUGCCAGCAGCCGCGGUAAUACGGAGGGGUGCAAGCGUUAAUCGGAAUUACUGGGCGUAAAGCGCACGCAGGCGGUUUGUUAAGUCAGAUGUGAAAUCCCCGGGCUCAACCUGGGAACUGCAUCUGAUACUGGCAAGCUUGAGUCUCGUAGAGGGGGGUAGAAUUUCCAGGUGUAGCGGUGAAAUGCGUAGAGAUCUGGAGGAAUACCGGUGGCGAAGGCGGCCCCCUGGACGAAGACUGACGCUCAGGUGCGAAAGCGUGGGGAGCAAACAGGAUUAGAUACCCUGGUAGUCCACGCCGUAAACGAUGUCGACUUGGAGGUUGUGCCCUUGAGGCGUGGCUUCCGGAGCUAACGCGUUAAGUCGACCGCCUGGGGAGUACGGCCGCAAGGUUAAAACUCAAAUGAAUUGACGGGGGCCCGCACAAGCGGUGGAGCAUGUGGUUUAAUUCGAUGCAACGCGAAGAACCUUACCUGGUUCUUGACAUCCACGGGAAGUUUUCAGAGAUGAGAAUGUGCCUUCGGGAACCGUGAGACAGGUGCUGCAUGGCUGUCGUCAGCUCGUGUUGUGAAAUGUUGGGUUAAGUCCCGCAACGAGCGCAACCCUUAUCCUUUGUUGCCAGCGGUCCGGCCGGGAACUCAAAGGAGACUGCCAGUGAUAAACUGGAGGAAGGUGGGGAUGACGUCAAGUCAUCAUGGCCCUUACGACCAGGGCUACACACGUGCUACAAUGGCGCAUACAAAGAGAAGCGACCUCGCGAGAGCAAGCGGACCUCAUAAAGUGCGUCGUAGUCCGGAUUGGAGUCUGCAACUCGACUCCAUGAAGUCGGAAUCGCUAGUAAUCGUGGAUCAGAAUGCCACGGUGAAUACGUUCCCGGGCCUUGUACACACCGCCCGUCACACCAUGGGAGUGGGUUGCAAAAGAAGUAGGUAGCUUAACCUUCGGGAGGGCGCUACC
This 1411-nucleotide ribosomal RNA is filed under the name uncultured bacterium. RNAcentral describes it as "16S ribosomal RNA". It matches the Rfam family "Bacterial small subunit ribosomal RNA". The record is from RNAcentral.